CCCCUAGAUGUUCUGGGCCGCACGCGCGCUACACUGAACAGUUCAACAAGUCUUAACCUUGGCCGAUAGGUCUGGGUAAUCUUUGAACGCUGUUCGUGAUUGGGAUAGACCUUUGCAAUUAUGGGUCUUCAACGAGGAAUUCCUAGUAAACGCAAGUCAUCAGCUUGCAUUGAUUACGUCCCUGCCCUUUGUACACACCGCCCGUCGCACCUACCGAUUGAACGGUCCGGUGAAAUCUUGGGAUUUGCUUUGCUUUCGUUUGUUCGAUGCUCGGCGAAGAACUUGAGUAAACCUUACCGUUUAGAGGAAGGUGAAGUCGUAACA
Molecule: ribosomal RNA, 324 nt
Filed under: uncultured eukaryote
Lineage: Eukaryota
Description: partial 18S ribosomal RNA
Rfam family: Eukaryotic small subunit ribosomal RNA
Source: RNAcentral